CUUUUGAUGAUAAUUUAAGGUCCAACCUGCCCUAUGAGUAUUUCUUAAAUGGCCGCAGUAUCUUGACUGUGCAAAGGUAGCAUAAUCVAUAGUUUUUUAAUUGAAAGCUGGAAUGAAAGGUUUUAUGAGAAAAAAGCUGUCUCUAGUAAAAUUUAUUAGAAUUUUAUUAUUAAGUGAAAAUGCUUAAAUGUAAAUAGAAGACGAGAAGACCCUAUAGAGUUUAAUAUUUGUUUNUAUGUUGUACNUAAGUAUUAUCAUUAUGUACAUAUAUAUAAAUAUUUAGUUGGGGUGAUUGAAAAAUUAAAAUAACUUUUUUUGUAUAUUAACAUAUAUGUAUGAUUAAUUGAUCCUUAUUUAAAGAUUAAAAGAUAAAAUUACCUUAGGGAUAACAGCGUUAUUUUUUUUGAGAGUUCUUAUCGAAAAAAAAGAUUGCGACCUNGAUGUUGGAUUAAAAUAAAUUUAUGGUGUAGAAGCUAUG
RNAcentral lists this ribosomal RNA (478 nucleotides) under Rhinoncus pericarpius. RNAcentral describes it as "partial 16S ribosomal RNA". It matches the Rfam family "Bacterial large subunit ribosomal RNA", at positions 1832 to 2566 of the family's 2925-position model. The record is from RNAcentral. Lineage: Eukaryota; Metazoa; Arthropoda; Insecta; Coleoptera; Curculionidae.